ACAAAGCAGCAAGUGCCAAGUGCCCUUCCACCUGCUUCUAGAUCAAGGCUGAGAACAUUUAAGCAGGACUAUCCCAGAAGGGUCUGGUUGGAACAGGCAGAAGGGGGCAACGGCUGCGCUGGAGCAAGUGUGCGUGCUUGCUGGGGCCAGACGUGGCGCUGUGAAACAGAGCCCCUCUGAGAAGACUCUGUGGGGAUCAAAAUGCGACCCUGAC
This 214-nucleotide long non-coding RNA is filed under the name Homo sapiens (human). Its description in RNAcentral is "HSALNT0086422". The record is from RNAcentral. Lineage: Eukaryota; Metazoa; Chordata; Mammalia; Primates; Hominidae.